Molecule: long non-coding RNA, 2520 nt
Filed under: Canis lupus familiaris (dog)
Lineage: Eukaryota; Metazoa; Chordata; Mammalia; Carnivora; Canidae
Description: lncRNA (ENSCAFG00845030403.1)
Source: RNAcentral
ACUUCUGGCUAUUUCGGAGAAGGGAGAAGGGCCCACUACAGAGGCAAUGGGGAUGCUUCCAGUGAGGGUAAAUGUUGGAACAUGUAUGCAUGUAUCUCUAUAUGUGUGUAUGUGAUCAUCGUCAUCACCAUCCCUAAUAAAACAUUUCCUUUUCAAGUCAGAGCAUGCCCAAAAGUAAAGGGUUUGUGGAGAGCUGGGCUCUCCAGGGACUCUGGUUGCCAUAGCAACCUUCCAGACUGUUCUCUCUAUCUUCUGAUUUGGGCAGCAAGGGAGAACAGGAGACUACAUACUCCCAGCUUCUGAAAUGGGACCACCUCCUACAUAGUGGUUUAGGGGCUGUUAAUGACCGGCGAGAUGUGUGACCUUUGGAAAAUGAGGGGGGAAGCAGCUCCCCCAAACUUUCUCCCUGGACCUUUCUUCCUGGUUUCCCCACCUAAUCAUUGAAGCUGCCUCAUCUCACUCCCGAUUCUUCAGAAAUUUGAAUGCUAAGCAACUGCCAGUUAAACCAAUGUCAAUAUUAUCUUUUUUUCAAAAUGGCAAGGGAAGACUCGGAGGGGACACGCUCCUCAAGAGGCAGCCAGGCUGGGCCUCGCCAAGAGUCCUGACAGUGAUAGUCUGUGAUACUAUGGAGCUGUCAUCUCUUCAGAGAGAGAGGCUCCUCCCUGCUCUCAGGGAGACUGAGAGAAAUGACACUUCCUCCUCCUGGGGAGUUAUCUAGCUCUGUUCCUAGCAAUCUUAUAGGUGGCUCUUCUCAAGACAUCGAAGAAACACAGAGAGGCUGUGACCUGACCUGGUUUCUGUGAAGGAUUUUGCCAAGCCAUCCCUCUCUGACUUUGAGCUUCUUUGUGUGGAUUUUGUGCCCCGAGCAUCGAAAGAAGAUGCACCCUGUGCUGCCGAGAUAGCCGGGGUGACGAUUUUGCAGCUGCCAGCAAAGGCAGGGGUCAGGCCUCUGUUACACCUGAUUCUCCGGCAUGAACUCCCAAAUGCCUCCCUGGAUCUGUCAGACUCGGCUGAGACGUGGGGUAGUCCUCCUGCCUAAUCAUCCCCAAGGAGAGAGGGGGACAGCUGGCCACCUUUGCAUUGGAGGGAAAAGGCUGGCACAGCAAGGAGACCUACACAUACAUUUCUGGUAGUGGCUGGACAGAGAGGGCCUGGACCCCAACUUCUCAGGAAGACAAGACCCCCUCCUUGGAUCAUGCGGCCUGACAUCUCUCCAGUAGCCUCCCACAAGCAGUCACCAGAAUAGAAAAAGCUGAAACCACACCCACCAACAUUAAAGAUGGGGCCCAGGAUGUUGGGGUGAGGCUGUGGGGUGAAGGGUCAAAGGAUGCCAGAAAGUGCAUGGCUGUGCUACAGACCCACCCAGGAAAAGGGUGGCCAUGAAGACUAACAAAUAAAUAUAUGGCAAAGUCUCAGAGGCCGUGUGUUUUGCUGCAUGGAGACAUCAACAGCUAAGUUAAGCAGACAAGUCAGGCACUUGUGACAAAAGCAGUUGGGUAUCCAGGUCAGAGCACUUGGGUACCUUUCCGGGUGCCACCCACAGACGAUCAGAAAAGGUGCUUGAAUACCCUCUGCAUUGACCUCACCAUGGACAGGCAACAUUCUCCAAGAAGGCAACCCAUUCUCUAGGAGUUGUUUGCCUCUUCUGUACACAUGCCAGUGGGCAAAUGUCAGGGUCAGAGCUAUAUUUCCCAUGGCUUUCCCAGGCCUCAGAUGAUGCCAUUGCAAGGUCUCCUAGGAGCAGGAAGGACUUCUUUCUGGUAUGUGACCCACAUUGCUCUUGUCACAGACAGCUUUUCACUCCUGGGCUUUUUCAGAGAAUGGAGAGAGAGACUACUUCUGGAAGGUCCUUCCUUCCUGCCUGCCUAUCUCUCUCUCUAGCUUCCUUCUAGGUGCUCUGGAGGGGGAAAUUGUACCUGCUUGUUAUUCUUCCAAGUGAUGAGGCUGAUUCCCGCCCCCACCCCCCCCGCCCAGGCUUUACUUUCCUAAUGAAGUACGUCUAGGGGUUACAACUUGCUAUAAUGCCUGGACCCUCCUAGAAAUGUGCUAAAUGUGGGCCUUCAUUACCACACUGGAAGUCUCUAUAUAGGGGACUUAGCCUAUAUAAUCUUAGCCAUGUGCCCACUUAAUGUCUAGCACAGUACCUGACACACGAUUAUCACUCAUAAUAUGUCUGGUGAAUGAGUAAGGCCAUGUGUGAAUGAAUGAGAUGUUGACUCUUGUUAAGACAUAAAGUUAAACUACUUAUAUAAGAAUCAUCAAGAACUCACAUUAUUUAUUACAAGUGAGGGAAUUGUCAAACCACUCUGCAACACACACAUGUAUGCAACACAUGCACACACACACACACACAUGCACACAUCCUUUUCCCUCCUAGGCAUCUCUUCUUAGUAGAGAAACCCUAAAACUGACAUUUCUUGUGAAGGUCUAUUUACCAACCUGUGUCUACCCUUUGUUCCUUCAUUUAGCGAGUGUUCCUUGGGUGUCUGUGUGUCAAGCUAAUGAAUAAAAUCAAUCAAC